GUGGGCACUGGAGGAUAGGUGGGGUCUGGGUACAGGAUAACCCUUAGCCAGAUACAAGUGGGCACUGGAGGAUAGGUGGGGUCUGGGUACAGGAUAACCCUUAGCCAGAUACAAGUGGGCACUGGAGGAUAGGUGGGGUCUGGGUACAGGAUAACCCUUAGCCAGAUACAAGUGGGCACUGGAGGAUAGGUGGGGUCUGGGUACAGGAUAACCCUUAGCCAGAUACAAGUGGGCACUGGAGGAUAGGUGUUGUCUGGGUACAGGAUAACCCUUAGCCAGAUUCAAG
Brienomyrus brachyistius is the source of this 286-nucleotide long non-coding RNA. RefSeq lists it as uncharacterized. Lineage: Eukaryota; Metazoa; Chordata; Actinopteri; Osteoglossiformes; Mormyridae. The transcript has 3 exons. The record is from RefSeq and is a predicted model, not a curated record.